UUAGCCUUACCGGUGGAUCACUCGGCUCGUAUA
This 33-nucleotide ribosomal RNA is filed under the name Meloidogyne naasi. RNAcentral describes it as "partial 5.8S ribosomal RNA". Lineage: Eukaryota; Metazoa; Nematoda; Chromadorea; Rhabditida; Meloidogynidae. The record is from RNAcentral.